UCUUUAUUUAUCAGUGUGAAUGAUCACCAGUAGUUCAUAGUUACACAGCCUGGGCCAUGUUCAUUAGGACAUGCAACCAAAAGUGUUUCAAAACAUUUUGCAUCGGAAAACUAAAAGGAGUCGUUUCUCUUUCAACAAGCCCAUGUAUUUCCUCCCUCUCGGUUUUGGUCCGUUUGGUAUCUAAUAAACACAACCCUGGAGAGUUCUUACACAGAGGACAACAAUCACUUCAUGGACAUGACCGUCACCAUCAUUAAAAUGGCUGUUUUUAUUUACACUGCUCAGUAACAACAUUCUGAAGUGUAGUUUUUAUUUACACUGCUCAGUAACAACAUUCUGAAGUAGAGUUUUUAUUUACACUGCUCAGUAAUAACAUUCUGAAGUGUAGUUUUUAUUUACACUGCUCAGUAAUAACAUUCUGAAGUGUAGUUUAUAUUUACACUGCUCAGUAAUAACAUUCUGAAGUAGAGUUUUUAUUUACACUGCUCAGUAAUAACAUUCUGAAGUAGAGUUUUUAUUUACACUGCUCAGUAAUAACAUUCUGAAGUGUAGUUUAUAUUUACACUGCGAGUAACAACAUACUAAAGAAUACAGUCAGUGUGUGAAGAGGUAACAGUCACCAUGUGUUGAUUCUCCUAAAGAGAAAUAUAAUCAACAUUCAACUUAUUUUUAGCUUCAAUGGACAGUGCUAUACACGCAGAAAGGAAACAUCAUUGGUGCAGUAGGAUACAAUGUGUGAGAUACACACAGCCUAAACACAUUCUGAUAGGUCGCAAUAAUAUGUAGAAUCCCCAGAUAUAACCAUAAUGGCAUCUAGUACACUGUCAACUCUGCCACUGUCUAUUCUAUUGUCUUAGCUACAGCCGUGUGUGUGUGUGUGUGUGUGUGUGUGUGUGUGUGUGUGUGUGUGUGUGUGUGUGUGUGUGUGUGUGUGUGUGUGUGUGUGUGUGUGUGUGUGUGUGUGUGUGUGUGUGUGUGUGUGUGUGUGUGUGUGUGUGUGUGUGUGUGUGUGUGUGUGUGUGAGUGAGUGACCAAGUGUGAUCGUGGUGCAUAUUCAAAUCAAAUCAAAUCUCUGUGUGCAGACUACAUGGUGCCUGAGUCAAUCUUACAAAAAGGGGGCUGUAUAUGUGUUUCUAUGUGUGUGUGUGCGUGUGUGUGCGUGUGCGUGUGUGUGUGUGUGUGUGUGUGUGUGUGUGUGUGUGUGUGUGUGUGUGUGUGUGUGUGUGUGUGUGUGUGUGUGUGUGUGUGUGUGUGAGUGAGUGACCAAGUGUGAUCGUGGUGCAUAUUCAAAUCAAAUCAAAUCUCUGUGUGCAGACUACAUGGUGCCUGCAUCUCAAUGUGCAGUCGUAAACAGUCAUUCAACAUUCAAACACGGGUGCUUGUGGAGAGAGACACGGUGGUUAAAUGGUGUCUAGUGUGCCGAGCCCUAAAAAUGUUAUCAACAUUGAAAUAUGGAUAUUUGUGGCCAAGACACUAAUGGAGUUUCCAUGAUAAAAACAUGAUGAGAAUAUGGAGACGUGGACGCUGUAAUGGAAAACAGGCUUGAUACAGAUACAAUAAGGACCCAUAACAACAACUCUGAUGUCACCCCUACGUCCGUCCGCCCGCCUGUCUGCCUAUCUGUCUGCCAUCAUUAAACAGAGAGAGGGGCUUUGUCCUCCUCUCAUGAUGGGAAGCUGUUGAUUUUAUGGACCUCGGUGAUUCUUAUCAACCAUCAGCACAAAACAGAACAACCAAAUGGGUUGUUUAAGCAAGCUUCUACUGUGUGUUAGUCAAUCUUACAAAAAGGGGGCUGUAUAUGUGUUUCUAUGUGUGUGCGUGUGCGUGUGCGUGUGUGUGUGUGUGUGUGUGUGUGUGUGUGUGUGUGUGUGUGUAUAAACAUAAUCACUAUAUACACUGUGAAAGAUAUUGGGCUCCCUGUGUAAACAGCCUCUGUGUCUUCCUGCUUGAGUGCCUUAAACAUAUGCAGCCAGCAGCUCCUCUCCUCUCCUCUCCUCAGGGACCAGCAGACGAGCCCACAGCGUGUGAGGAGCCCAGAUAACCCCUGCCUCCACAAGGCUCGCUUUCUGUAGCCCCCCCACACACACACACACACACACACACACACACACACACACACACACACACACACACACACACACACACACACACACACACACACACACACACACACACACACACACACACGAUAGCCACACCACGCCAAGGCAUCCAUACAACGCCUGUGGCUUAAAAUGCAUCCACCAAUGUGAGUCUAGUCCAUAGGUUUAACCGACUUAACGUACACACGAUACACCUCCAUGCCUUGAGUGUGAGUCUGUAGUCACCUAGCUCGCAUGUACUGUAGCCACUUUGCUAGCAUCCCUUAGCUAGCAGGUACUGUAGUCACUUAGCUAGCAGGUACUGUAGUCACUUAGCUAGCAGGUACUAUAGUCACUUAGCUAGCAGGUACUGUAGUCACUUAGCUAGCGUCACUUAGCUAGCAGGUACUGUAGUCACUUAGCUAGCUCUGUGCCCUGCUGGCCAGUUGGUUAUGUCCUCUUAGAAGAGUCAUAGAAUAAAAUAAUGGCCCAUUUUAUAUCCUGGGCGUGUGCCAGCUUAGCUUAACCAUCAGCAAUGCAUCAAUCUGCCAUUUUUUACUGUAUCCAUAUUGGUUUUAUUGGAGUAAUUCAGCCAUGUACUAUAAAAGAUAGGUACACAUGCUGCUAUUGUUAGGAUGGUGCCAGAGGGACAGAGAGGGAGAGAGACAGAGACGGGGAGGGAGAGAGUGGGAGAGAGACAGAGGGACAGAGCGGGAGAGAGAGAGAGAGACAGAGGGACAGAGGGGCAGAGGGAGAGAGAGAGAGAGACAGAGGGACAGAGGGAGAGAGAGAGAGACAGAGGGAGAGAGGGACAGACGGAGAGGGAGAGACAGAGAGAGAGAGAGAGAGAGAGAG
This is a long non-coding RNA of Oncorhynchus tshawytscha (Chinook salmon), 2936 nucleotides long. The record is from Ensembl. Lineage: Eukaryota; Metazoa; Chordata; Actinopteri; Salmoniformes; Salmonidae.